ACGAACGCUGGCGGCAUGCCUAACACAUGCAAGUCGAACGUGAUCCGUGCCUUCGGGUGCGGUGAAAGUGGCGCACGGGUGAGUAACGCGUGGGAACCUGCCCAAUGGUAGGGAAUAACCGCGGGAAACUGCGGCUAAUACCCUAUGAGCCCUACGGGGGAAAGAUUUAUCGCCGUUGGAGGGGCCCGCGUCGGAUUAGGUAGUUGGUGGGGUAAUGGCCCACCAAGCCUUCGAUCCGUAGCUGGUCUGAGAGGAUGAUCAGCCACACUGGGACUGAGACACGGCCCAGACUCCUACGGGAGGCAGCAGUGGGGAAUAUUGGACAAUGGGGGCAACCCUGAUCCAGCAAUGCCGCGUGAGUGAAGAAGGCCUUAGGGUUGUAAAGCUCUUUCGGCGGGGACGAUGAUGACGGUACCCGCAGAAGAAGCCCCGGCUAACUCCGU
This 443-nucleotide ribosomal RNA is filed under the name uncultured bacterium. RNAcentral's name for it is "bacterial SSU rRNA". It matches the Rfam family "Bacterial small subunit ribosomal RNA", at positions 29 to 506 of the family's 1533-position model. The record is from RNAcentral.